UUAAGUCGACCGCCUGGGGAGUACGGCCGCAAGGUUAAAACUCAAAUGAAUUGACGGGGGCCCGCACAAGCGGUGGAGCAUGUGGUUUAAUUCGAUGCAACGCGAAGAACCUUACCUGGUCUUGACAUCCACGGAAGUUUUCAGAGAUGAGAAUGUGCCUUCGGGAACCGUGAGACAGGUGCUGCAUGGCUGUCGUCAGCUCGUGUUGUGAAAUGUUGGGUUAAGUCCCGCAACGAGCGCAACCCUUAUCCUUUGUUGCCAGCGGUCCGGCCGGGAACUCAAAGGAGACUGCCAGUGAUAAACUGGAGGAAGGUGGGGAUGACGUCAAGUCAUCAUGGCCCUUACGACCAGGGCUACACACGUGCUACAAUGGCGCAUACAAAGAGAAGCGACCUCGCGAGAGCAAGCGGAC
This 412-nucleotide ribosomal RNA is filed under the name Shigella flexneri. RNAcentral's name for it is "bacterial SSU rRNA". It matches the Rfam family "Bacterial small subunit ribosomal RNA", at positions 860 to 1272 of the family's 1533-position model. Lineage: Bacteria; Pseudomonadati; Pseudomonadota; Gammaproteobacteria; Enterobacterales; Enterobacteriaceae. The record is from RNAcentral.